AAAUCCUACGGGAGGCAGCAGGAGGGAAUAUUGCUCAAUGGGGGAAACCCUGAAGCAGCAACGCCGCGUGGAGGAUGAAGGUUUUCGGAUUGUAAACUCCUUUUGUUAGAGACGAUAAUGACGGUAUCUAACGAAUAAGCACCGGCUAACUCCGUGCCAGCAGCCGCGGUAAUACGGAGGGUGCAAGCGUUACUCGGAAUCACUGUGCGUAAAGAGCGAGUAGGCGGGAUAGCAAGUCAGAUGUGAAAUCCUAUGGCUUAACCAUAGAACUGCAUUUAAAACUGUUAUUCUAGAGUAUGGGAGAG
RNAcentral lists this ribosomal RNA (305 nucleotides) under uncultured bacterium. RNAcentral describes it as "bacterial SSU rRNA". It matches the Rfam family "Bacterial small subunit ribosomal RNA", at positions 334 to 656 of the family's 1533-position model. The record is from RNAcentral.